CUGAGAGCAGCCCCCUCACGGGAGCCUCCUGGGCGUCCCCAGUGACUUCUGCUGGGAGAAGAUUCAGAGCGUCUGUUAGGAAUGUUCAGCAGCAAAGAAUCUGAGGGAAGACGGGGUCUUGGCUAAAGGCGGGCAUUUGGUAAGAUGAUGUGGAGACCAAGGCCACAGAAAAGAGUCCCCCAUGUGGGCUUUUGAUAGUUAGUUGUUAGGGACAUCGUCUUGGCGAGCUGGGGUAGGUGGUGGCAGAGACGGAGACAGCAGGAUCUGCCCUGGAACAAGGUGGAAAGCCAUCAGCCAAGUUCUUUUCUCCACACAGCUGCAGAGUAUUGGUGAAGUACCUACUCUGUCCUUGUCCUUGGGGGAUGAGAUGGUCCUGCCUGUUCAUCCGUCUUCAGGUAACAUUUAGUGCCCUUGUUUUACAGGGCUGGUUUUGUAAAGUCC
Molecule: long non-coding RNA, 441 nt
Filed under: Ictidomys tridecemlineatus (thirteen-lined ground squirrel)
Lineage: Eukaryota; Metazoa; Chordata; Mammalia; Rodentia; Sciuridae
Description: lncRNA (ENSSTOG00000030594.1)
Source: RNAcentral